CCCCCAAGUGGAGGAGUUUAAGUAUUUCGGGGUCUUGUUCACGAGUGAGGGAAUGAUGGAAUAGGAGAUCUACAGGCGGAUCGGUGCAGCGUCAGCAGUGGUGCAGGCACUGCAUCGGUCUGUCAUGGUGAAGAAAGAGCUGAGCCAAAAGGCAAAGCUCUCGAUUUAACAGUCGACCUACGUUCCUACCAUCACCUAUGGUCACAAGCUGUAGGUAGUGACCAAAAAAAUGACAUUGCGAGUGAGUGUGUGAGAGCAAGUGAGUGUGUGUGAGACAGAAAGUGAUGAGUGUGUAUUUGACCUGGUUUGUAAUUUUGUACUUUUGAAUCUUUUGUCAAUUCAGGUCAAGGAGGAAUUUCAGAAUAACAACAGUUUCCCUGGAGCAGAGGUUCAUGUUUAAACUUGAGCACUACACACCAAAACUUACUGUCCAGAUGAAGGCCAAGGGAGGUGUCAUGGGGACCAAGCUGAGACCCUUCCUGGACAAACUGAGCUAGAACCAAAGACUUGAGAUGAGAUGUGAAGCUGUUAUCCAUAGCAUCAUUGUGUACCUUGGGGAGAAAAAGGAGAAACUUCUUGAAGAUUGCCUGGAGGACAGUCGCAGUGAUGCCACUCAACACGUCCUCAAGAUCCUGGUCGUCCAUGGUGCUGAUGGAGAGGAGCCAGUGGAUGUGUCCAUCCUUCUUGAAGGCCAGGAGAUGAUGUCUGGAUGUGGCAGUACUGCGAAAACUUGCAUGCUGCUUAUGGGGCUCAUGUAUGGCCUCAACCUUGCAUACCCCCCAAAACUGCGCUACACUUUUGAGGUAUUUCAGAAACUAUUUCUGUAAUUAGAUGUGAUCAAGAUGUCCCCAAAAGGUGCAAGCGUUAAAGUUGAAAUUUCUCUCUUAGAAGUUCAAUAUCUAAUUGUUGGCUUUGAAAACGAUUUUCCUGUUUGUAAGAUGGUUUAAAUGUUAAAUUGUAAAUUGCAGGAAUGUCUAAAUGUUGUAGUUGUGCUGUAACAGAGUUUUAAGGUUUUAAUUCUGGCUGUUGACAUUUUGUGUAAAAUAAGGGUUUUAAUCCUCAGGGAAAUUUAAGAAGUUUUUUUAAAUUGUUAAAUACUUAUUUUCUCUGUGUGUGAGUGUGCGUGAGAGUGACAUACUGUGUGUU
This is a long non-coding RNA of Brienomyrus brachyistius, 1146 nucleotides long. RefSeq lists it as uncharacterized. The transcript has 3 exons. The record is from RefSeq and is a predicted model, not a curated record. Lineage: Eukaryota; Metazoa; Chordata; Actinopteri; Osteoglossiformes; Mormyridae.